GAUGAACGCUGGCGGCGUGCCUAAUACAUGCAAGUCGAGCGAACAGACGAGGAGCUUGCUCCUCUGACGUUAGCGGCGGACGGGUGAGUAAAACGUGGAUAACCUACCUAUAAGACUGGGAUAACUUCGGGAAACCGGAGCUAAUACCGGAUAAUAUAUUGAACCGCAUGGUUCAAUAGUGAAAGACGGUUUUGCUGUCACUUAUCGAUGGAUCCGCGCCGCAUUAGCUAGUUGGUAAGGUAACGGCUUACCAAGGCAACGAUGCGUAGCCGACCUGAGAGGGUGAUCGGCCACACUGGAACUGAGACACGGUCCAGACUCCUACGGGAGGCAGCAGUAGGGAAUCUUCCGCAAUGGGCGAAAGCCUGACGGAGCAACGCCGCGUGAGUGAUGAAGGUCUUCGGAUCGUAAAACUCUGUUAUUAGGGAAGAACAAAUGUGUAAGUAACUAUGCACGUCUUGACGGUACCUAAUCAGAAAGCCACGGCUAACUACGUG
This 497-nucleotide ribosomal RNA is filed under the name uncultured bacterium. RNAcentral describes it as "partial 16S ribosomal RNA". It matches the Rfam family "Bacterial small subunit ribosomal RNA", at positions 28 to 507 of the family's 1533-position model. The record is from RNAcentral.